CAUUAAGUGGCUGAAAAGCAAAGCAAUGAUCUCUUAAAUCAUAAUAUAAUAAACUAGCAAUUAUUCUUAAUG
Molecule: transfer RNA, 72 nt
Filed under: Asiemphytus rufocephalus
Lineage: Eukaryota; Metazoa; Arthropoda; Insecta; Hymenoptera; Tenthredinidae
Description: tRNA-Lys
Source: RNAcentral